CUUCGAUUGAGAGUUGGAGUUUCUCUCAUAAAAGUUCAUGAACUUGGAUGAGCCCAAGGCCAUAUUAGGGCUAAGCGAGAUUUUAUGAGGAAUACAAGAAUGUUGUAUUUAUGUGUGUGGUAUCACUGGUGUUGUCAUGAGGAAUAACAAAUUCAAAGCUUUUAUGCUAUUUGGGAUUUCGACUUCACUUUGUGAUGCUUACACUAAGGUAAUAUUCAAAUCGAAAGAUAUAUUACUUUAUUCAUAAAUACUAUUUAAUCACUUUGAGAAAAUUUUAAAUUUGAACAAGUGGGGGAUUGUUAUAAAUUGUUCAAAUUAAGAAUUUCUUUUCAAAAGAUUUAUUUGAAAAGGUGUUUUCUUUUAUUUUUUGUAGUUAUUUUUCAAAGGUUGUGUCUUUUGAGAAAAUAGUUAUAAUUUUCAAUGGUUGUGUCUUUUGAGAAAAUAGUUAAUUUUCAAAGGUUGUGUCUUUUGAGAAAAUAUCUAUAAAUAGCUAUUUGGGGGUAAAUUACCAAAACAACUCUUUCAUGCUCUUCUUCUUUACUCUCCAAGUGAUUGAGUUAGACAUUCUCCAAUUCCUUUCUGAAGAUUCUUUAUUGUUUGCUCAAUACAGAUCUUCUAAAGGCUUGUCAUAUCCACUAAAACUAUUUGCAUCAAACCCAGAGCAAUCUUAUUGAGAAGAGGGUGCAAAUAUCAUUUUUAGGAAAGUGUUUAUACACGUUUCAAGCCUAAAUAUCUUUCCUAAAGUAUUCUUGAUCUUGUGUUUGUUAUUUGUUUCCAUAGUGGGUUUUUUCCUCUUCUUUGUCGUACCUCU
This 811-nucleotide long non-coding RNA is filed under the name Musa acuminata (dwarf banana). RNAcentral describes it as "long non-coding RNA (MACU_LNC011122)". The record is from RNAcentral. Lineage: Eukaryota; Viridiplantae; Streptophyta; Magnoliopsida; Zingiberales; Musaceae.